Molecule: ribosomal RNA, 253 nt
Filed under: uncultured bacterium
Lineage: Bacteria
Description: partial 16S ribosomal RNA
Rfam family: Bacterial small subunit ribosomal RNA
Source: RNAcentral
UACAGAGGUCUCAAGCGUUGUUCGGAUUCAUUGGGCGUAAAGGGUGCGUAGGCGGCGCGGUAAGUCGGGUGUGAAAGCCCCGGGCUCAGCCCGGGAAGGGCACUAGAAACUGCCGAGCUGGAGUGCCGGAGGGGAGAGUGGAAUUCCUGGUGUAGCGGUGAAAUGCGCAGAUAUCAGGAGGAACACCGAUUGCGAAGGCAGCUCGCUGGGACGUCACUGACGCUGAGACGCGAAAGCGUGGGGAGCGAACAGG